This 329-nucleotide unclassified non-coding RNA is filed under the name soil metagenome. Its description in RNAcentral is "partial contains 5.8S ribosomal RNA, internal transcribed spacer 2, and large subunit ribosomal RNA". The stretch from base 1 to 120 matches the Rfam family "5.8S ribosomal RNA", at positions 35 to 154 of the family's 154-position model. The record is from RNAcentral.
GAUGAAGAACGUAGCGAAAUGCGAUAAGUAAUGUGAAUUGCAGAAUUCAGUGAAUCAUCGAAUCUUUGAACGCACAUUGCGCCCUCUGGUAUUCCGGGGGGCAUGCCUGUUCGAGCGUCAUUAUAACCACUCAAGCUCUCGCUUGGUAUUGGGGUUCGCGGUUCCGCGGCCCCUAAAAUCAGUGGCGGUGCCUGUCGGCUCUACGCGUAGUAAUACUCCUCGCGAUUGAGUCCGGUAGGUCUACUUGCCAGCAACCCACAAUUUUUACAGGUUGACCUCGGAUCAGGUAGGGAUACCCGCUGAACUUAAGCAUAUCAAUAAGCGGAGGA